UUACCGGCUUAAAUGGACAGAAAUUUUCGCCAAGGUGCUGCAUGGUUGUCGUCAGCUCGUGCCGUGAGGUGUCGGGUUAAGUCCCAUAACGAGCGCAACCCUAUCUUAGUUGCCAGCGUACGGGACUCUAAGAGACUGCCCGCGCAACGUGAGGAAGGUGGGGAUGACGUCAAAUCAUCACGGCCCUUACGCCGGGCCACACGUGCUACAAUGGGAUACAAGGGGCAUGGCGACAGGAGCAAUCUCUAAUCAUCUCAGUUCGGAUUGUAGUCUGCAACUCGACUACAUGAAGCCGGAAUUGCUAGUAAUCGCGAUCAGCAUGCGCGGUGAAUACGUUCCCGGGNCCUGUACACACCGCCCGUCAAACAAUGGAAGCUGGGCNCCGAA
Molecule: ribosomal RNA, 387 nt
Filed under: uncultured bacterium
Lineage: Bacteria
Description: bacterial SSU rRNA
Rfam family: Bacterial small subunit ribosomal RNA
Source: RNAcentral